AGAGUUUGAUCAUGGCUCAGAUUGAACGCUGGCGGAAUGCUUUACACAUGCAAGUCGAGCGGCAGCACGGGGGCAACCCUGGUGGCGAGCGGCGAACGGGUGAGUAAUACAUCGGAACAUGCCCAGUCGUGGGGGAUAACACUUCGAAAGAAGUGCUAAUACCGCAUACGUCCUGAGGGAGAAAGCGGGGGAUCGCAAGACCUCGCGCGAUUGGAGUGGCCGAUGUCAGAUUAGCUAGUUGGUGGGGUAAAGGCCUACCAAGGCAACGAUCUGUAGCUGGUCUGAGAGGAUGAUCAGCCACACUGGGACUGAGACACGGCCCAGACUCCUACGGGAGGCAGCAGUGGGGAAUUUUGGACAAUGGGGGCAACCCUGAUCCAGCCAUUCCGCGUGAGUGAAGAAGGCCUUCGGGUUGUAAAGCUCUUUCGGCAGGAACGAAACGGUGAGCUCUAACAUAGCUUGCUAAUGACGGUACCUGAAGAAGAAGCACCGGCUAACUACGUGCCAGCAGCCGCGGUAAUACGUAGGGUGCGAGCGUUAAUCGGAAUUACUGGGCGUAAAGCGUGCGCAGGCGGUUGUGUAAGACAGGUGUGAAAUCCCCGGGCUUAACCUGGGAACUGCGCUUGUGACUGCACAGCUAGAGUAUGGCAGAGGGGGGUGGAAUUCCACGUGUAGCAGUGAAAUGCGUAGAGAUGUGGAGGAACACCGAUGGCGAAGGCAGCCCCCUGGGCCAAUACUGACGCUCAUGCACGAAAGC
Molecule: ribosomal RNA, 757 nt
Filed under: uncultured bacterium
Lineage: Bacteria
Description: bacterial SSU rRNA
Rfam family: Bacterial small subunit ribosomal RNA
Source: RNAcentral